AGCAGCCGCGGUAAUUCCAGCUCCAAUAGCGUAUAUUAAAGUUGUUGCAGUUAAAAAGCUCGUAGUUGAAUUUCGGGGUUCAUACGUUGGUCGGGCUUUUUUGGUCUGUACUGGUGUAAUGGAUUCCUACCUUCUGAAUAACCGGCAUGUCAUUAAUUUGGUGCACCGGGGAAGCAGGACUGUUACCUUGAAAAAAUUAGAGUGCUUAAAGCAGGCUAUCGCCUGAAUACAUUAGCAUGGAAUAAUGAAAUAGGACGGCAUGGUUCUAUUUUGUUGGUUUCUAGGAUCACCGUAAUGAUUAAUAGGGAUAGUUGGGGGCAUUAGUAUUCAAUUGUCAGAGGUGAAAUUCUUGGAUUUAUUGAAGACUAACUUCUGCGAAAGCAUUUGCCAAGGAUGUUUUCAUUAAUCAAGAACGAAAGUUAGGGGAUCGAAGACGAUCAGAUACCGUCGUAGUCUUAACCAUAAACUAUGCCGACUAGGGAUCGGACGAUGUUAAUUUUUUAAUUGUACUCGUUCGGCG
This 520-nucleotide ribosomal RNA is filed under the name uncultured Acaulospora. Its description in RNAcentral is "SSU rRNA". It matches the Rfam family "Eukaryotic small subunit ribosomal RNA", at positions 569 to 1085 of the family's 1831-position model. The record is from RNAcentral. Lineage: Eukaryota; Fungi; Glomeromycota; Glomeromycetes; Diversisporales; Acaulosporaceae.